RNAcentral lists this ribosomal RNA (252 nucleotides) under uncultured bacterium. RNAcentral's name for it is "partial 16S ribosomal RNA". It matches the Rfam family "Bacterial small subunit ribosomal RNA", at positions 524 to 776 of the family's 1533-position model. The record is from RNAcentral.
UACAGAGGUCCCGAGCGUUGUUCGGAUUCAUUGGGCGUAAAGGGUGCGUAGGCGGCGGGGAAAGUCUGAUGUGAAAUCCUGGGGCUCACCCUGGAACUGCAUUGGAUACUUCCUUGCUAGAGUACUGGAGAGGAAACUGGAAUUUACGGUGUAGCAGUGAAAUGCGUAGAGAUCGUAAGGAAGACCAGUGGCGAAGGCGAGUUUCUGGACAGUUACUGACGCUGAGGCACGAAGGCCAGGGGAGCAAACGGG